This is a non-coding RNA of Leptonychotes weddellii (Weddell seal), 476 nucleotides long. The record is from RefSeq and is a predicted model, not a curated record. NCBI's taxonomy places the organism in Eukaryota, Metazoa, Chordata, Mammalia, Carnivora, Phocidae.
GAAGAGGUGGUCAGGAAGUAGGUGCUUCCUGCUGGGCAGCUAGCUCCUCCGCUUCUGUCCGCUCCGCGGUGGGAAGCGCCUUCCCCACAGGACAUCAAUGCAAACCUGAAUAAGAAAAACAAUUUCUUCUUCCUAAGCCAUGGCAUAUCAGUUAUACAGAAAUACCACUCUGGGAAACAGUCUCCAGGAGAGCCUUGAUGAGCUCAUACAGUCUCAACAGGUCACCCCCCAACUUGCCCUUCAAGUUCUACUUCAGUUUGAUAAAGCUAUAAAUACAGCAUUGGCACAGAGGGUCAGGAACAGAGUCAAUUUCAGGGGCUCUCUAAAUACAUACAGAUUCUGCGAUAACAUGUGGACUUUUGUAUUGAAUGAUGUUGAAUUCAGAGAGGUGACAGAACUUAUUAAAGUGGAUAAAGUGAAAAUUGUAGCCUGUGAUGGUAAAAAUACUGGCUCCAAUACUACAGAAUGAAUUGGAA